UAGCUGGGAGACACAAUGCUUGUUUACAGAGUCAUGGUCCUUACUCACAAGGCGAGCAGAAGGCGCUGGGAGUCUGUACGGCUGUGAGGAACGGCAAUGAGAAGUGACACCCUGUCCAACAAACCAGAAUCUUGCUGAUUCAUCCUGCUUUUCUUUUCAUCUCCGGACCAAGGAUAUUUACACAUUCUGCUUUCCACUUCUGACUUUGAGGCUGCAAGUUGCAUUUAUUCAUCCUGGCCUGCAGCACUUUACAAAAUGUUUAUUAAUGACAAUAUUAAACUCAGGUCCUCAGAUGGAUAUACAAUCCUAUAUUGUAGAAGAAUUUGUAUAAACUGCUUGCAGUAUCUUGACAUGUCAAAUAAAGAUUAGACCGGUUUGGUGAUCUUUCUCACAAGUACAAGUAAUCUCUUCUCAG
Molecule: long non-coding RNA, 415 nt
Organism: Pogoniulus pusillus (Red-fronted tinkerbird)
Lineage: Eukaryota; Metazoa; Chordata; Aves; Piciformes; Lybiidae
Exons: 3
Source: RefSeq, a predicted model, not a curated record